AGAGCGCAAUCUUCUUCUACAACGCCGCCAACUGAAGCGCUGUUCCAUCUGCUGCUCAGUGCUGCCACUUCGUGGGGACACCAGGUUACUGCACCUGAAGGAACCGGUUUACUCUGCGGCGCGUUUCUCUGCCGGUUGAAACCCGGCCUGAGUUUCAUGUUGGUCUGUUUCGUGUCUGGACUCGUCCUGGUUCUGAAGCAUGAUGGGACGAUCCGCUGAGCAGCUGAGAUGAGAUGCGGGUGAAACCCCAGUUCCUCCUGAAUGCUGGGAUCAGGUUUUGUUCUGGAAACCUAAAAGCACCCGAAGGCAUCGUGAAGCCGAGGAAGAUCAUCAUCAUCAGUCAUGACGGGCAGAGGACCCGCCGUCACCAAGGAAGUAUUCACCCCUCUACAGGAAGUGGCAGCACUGCUAGCUGGAGGAGCAGCUGAAUUGCCUCCCCGCCUGCUGCAGGUGUCUCUGCGUUGCCAUGGUUACCUGUCCCUCCCGCCUGCAGCGUCCUCAGAUGCUCCACGGUCAUCUGCAGGAUCUCGGCUUUCUCCAGAUGCAUCAGAAACACGGGAGCUGAGAGGUCAAAGGUCAGGCUGACCUGUUUCUCCCAGGCCGUCGGGACGAGUCGCCGUAACUCCGACAGGCUGCCGUUGAUCCGAUCCCUGCGCCGCUUCUCGAUGAUCUGGAACC
Long non-coding RNA from Gambusia affinis (western mosquitofish), 678 nucleotides. RefSeq lists it as uncharacterized. The record is from RefSeq and is a predicted model, not a curated record. Lineage: Eukaryota; Metazoa; Chordata; Actinopteri; Cyprinodontiformes; Poeciliidae. The transcript is spliced from 4 exons.